UACCAGCACCCCGAGUGGUCGGGACGAUUAUUGGGCCUAAAGCAUCCGUAGCCGGUUCUACAAGUCUUCCGUGAAAUCCACCUGCUUAACAGAUGGGCUGCGGAGGAUACUAUAGAGCUAGGAGGCGGGAGAGGCAAGCGGUACUUAGUGGGUAGGGGUAAAAUCCGUUGAUCCAUUGAAGACCACCAGUGGCGAAGGCGGCUUGCCAGAACGCACUCGACGGUGAGGGAUGAAAGCUGGGGGAGCAAACCGG
This 253-nucleotide ribosomal RNA is filed under the name uncultured bacterium. Its description in RNAcentral is "partial 16S ribosomal RNA". It matches the Rfam family "Archaeal small subunit ribosomal RNA", at positions 474 to 727 of the family's 1478-position model. The record is from RNAcentral.